This 399-nucleotide ribosomal RNA is filed under the name uncultured bacterium. RNAcentral's name for it is "partial 16S ribosomal RNA". It matches the Rfam family "Bacterial small subunit ribosomal RNA", at positions 360 to 776 of the family's 1533-position model. The record is from RNAcentral.
AAUAUUUCACAAUGGGGGAAACCCUGAUGCAGCGACGCCGCGUGAGUUAAGAAGCAGUUCGCUAUGUAAAGCUUCCUCUCCUCUGAAGAUAAUGUCAGUACUUUGUCUAGCCGCACACGCUUACUACCUGCCAUCAGCCGUUGUAAUACGUAGGGGGCAAGCGUUAUCCGGAUUUACUGGGUGUAAAGGGAGCGUAGGUGGUACGGUAAGUCAGAUGUGAAAGCCCGGGGCUCAACCCCGGGACUGCAUUUGAAACUAUCGAACUAGAGUGUAGGAGAGGUAAGUGGAAUUCCUAGUGUAGCGGUGAAAUGCGUAGAUAUUAGGAGGAACACCAGUGGCGAAGGCGGCUUACUGGACUAUAACUGACACUGAGGCUCGAAAGCGUGGGGAGCAAACAGG